Non-coding RNA from Schistosoma haematobium, 45 nucleotides. The record is from Rfam. Lineage: Eukaryota; Metazoa; Platyhelminthes; Trematoda; Strigeidida; Schistosomatidae.
AUCCAAUUGAGGAAUCCUAAAUAGAACGAAACGCGCUUCCUGUAU